GGUGGCUCAGUGGUCAAGCGCUUGCCUCACAUGCAGGAGGCCCUGGGUUCGAUUCCUCAGCACCA
RNAcentral lists this transfer RNA (65 nucleotides) under Dipodomys ordii (Ord's kangaroo rat). It matches the Rfam family "tRNA". From Rfam's summary of the family: Transfer RNA (tRNA) molecules are approximately 80 nucleotides in length. Their secondary structure includes four short double-helical elements and three loops (D, anti-codon, and T loops). The record is from Rfam by way of RNAcentral. Lineage: Eukaryota; Metazoa; Chordata; Mammalia; Rodentia; Heteromyidae.